This 204-nucleotide ribosomal RNA is filed under the name uncultured bacterium. RNAcentral's name for it is "partial 16S ribosomal RNA". It matches the Rfam family "Bacterial small subunit ribosomal RNA", at positions 1295 to 1500 of the family's 1533-position model. The record is from RNAcentral.
GGAUUGUAGGCUGCAACUCGCCUACAUGAAGUCGGAAUCGCUAGUAAUCGCGGAUCAGCAUGCCGCGGUGAAUAGUUCCCGGGCCUUGUACACACCGCCCGUCACACCAUGAGAGUUGGAGAUACCCGAAGCCUAUGAGCUAACUUUUAGAGGCAGUAGUCGAAGGUAGAAUCAAUGAUUGGGGUGAAGUCGUAACAAGGUAUC